RNAcentral lists this ribosomal RNA (709 nucleotides) under Pseudomonas sp. 120516_NH_C2_A9. Its description in RNAcentral is "bacterial SSU rRNA". It matches the Rfam family "Bacterial small subunit ribosomal RNA", at positions 19 to 723 of the family's 1533-position model. The record is from RNAcentral. Lineage: Bacteria; Pseudomonadati; Pseudomonadota; Gammaproteobacteria; Pseudomonadales; Pseudomonadaceae. RNAcentral also lists the same sequence under 1 other name.
AUGGCUCAGAUUGAACGCUGGCGGCAGGCCUAACACAUGCAAGUCGAGCGGAUGACGGGAGCUUGCUCCUUGAUUCAGCGGCGGACGGGUGAGUAAUGCCUAGGAAUCUGCCUGGUAGUGGGGGACAACGUUUCGAAAGGAACGCUAAUACCGCAUACGUCCUACGGGAGAAAGCAGGGGACCUUCGGGCCUUGCGCUAUCAGAUGAGCCUAGGUCGGAUUAGCUAGUUGGUGGGGUAAUGGCUCACCAAGGCGACGAUCCGUAACUGGUCUGAGAGGAUGAUCAGUCACACUGGAACUGAGACACGGUCCAGACUCCUACGGGAGGCAGCAGUGGGGAAUAUUGGACAAUGGGCGAAAGCCUGAUCCAGCCAUGCCGCGUGUGUGAAGAAGGUCUUCGGAUUGUAAAGCACUUUAAGUUGGGAGGAAGGGCAGUAAGYUAAUACCUUGCUGUUUUGACGUUACCGACAGAAUAAGCACCGGCUAACUCUGUGCCAGCAGCCGCGGUAAUACAGAGGGUGCAAGCGUUAAUCGGAAUUACUGGGCGUAAAGCGCGCGUAGGUGGUUUGUUAAGUUGGAUGUGAAAGCCCCGGGCUCAACCUGGGAACUGCAUCCAAAACUGGCAAGCUAGAGUACGGUAGAGGGUGGUGGAAUUUCCUGUGUAGCGGUGAAAUGCGUAGAUAUAGGAAGGAACACCAGUGGCGAAGGCG